Molecule: ribosomal RNA, 1049 nt
Filed under: Triticum aestivum (bread wheat)
Lineage: Eukaryota; Viridiplantae; Streptophyta; Magnoliopsida; Poales; Poaceae
Description: partial small subunit ribosomal RNA
Source: RNAcentral
CGUCUCGUCUCGUCGAAUUUCUUUGCGCUCUCCCACCUAUCCUAUUCCGCUCGGUAAUCCGCGCACUCUGCUGCUUGGGGUCGCUGGUCGUCUCGUCGCGUUUCACUCGGUACGAUCGGAGCGGCCGCGAGCGGCCGCGGUGGGUGAGGAAGGGCCGGAAGCACAGCCCGUCGGCGCCGCAGGUGGAGGGCAGGCGGAGGCGCGGGAGCGUGAGCGGCCGCGCCGCCCGGCGGGACCAGCAGGAGCGGUUCCGGUUCCACAGGUGCGGGUUACGGCUGGCGUAGCGGGCGGUGCUGGCAGAGGCGUUCUUCCACUCACCGUGGUGUCUCUCCGGUUCUGACUCGCAAAAGGCGAGUUUGUUCGUAAACAUACGAGUCCACUAGCUGCUAUGUUUCAGUACGUGAGACCGAAGACGGAGUUGUUACGUGUUUCGAGAAAGUUUCCUCGAACUCAUGAGACGACCCGGUUGUUGACUUCACCGUGUUUUCUAACCACUUCACUAUCGGUUCAGGACGAACCUCUUUCCUUAGUGGUUUCACCAGAAACUGGCUCCCCCAAAGGAGAUGGUACCGGCGUAGUUUCGAGAUCGGCUACGACGAUCUCUCUUACCCGAGCUCAAGACUUAAAAGGACAACUAUAAAGGUCCCAGCGUACAUUAUAAGAGAGAAAAAAGGGCAGACAAACUUGUUAGGAAAGACAUCAGUAACCUCAGCGAGACGUCUGUACCGGGGAGAAAUUACAAUAGACUAGAAACAUAGUUGUAACUUAGUCGCAACGUUUACCUUCUAAGUAAAAGACAGAUAAAGACGUGAAACCGAAGACGGGUACGUUGGAACAUUUGGUUGUGAACCUUUACCUCAUAAGUCAGACGCUCGAACCCGUUUUAUUGACUCUUCUUAGUACGUGAAUUCGUCUAAAUUAUCAAAUCAUGACGAUCAACCUUCUCUCUUGUCUUUGUCCACGCUAUAGACAUUUGGAGAAACAAUAACCGUACAGUUUAUGACUCAUGUCUUAAGGUUAGUGUGUCAUUAAGUAGAUACGAACAAUGG